CACGUAGGGUGCGAGCGUUGUCCGGAAUUAUUGGGCGUAAAGAGCUCGUAGGCGGCUUGUCACGUCGGGUGUGAAAGCCCGGGGCUUAACCCCGGGUCUGCAUUCGAUACGGGCUAGCUAGAGUGUGGUAGGGGAGAUCGGAAUUCCUGGUGUAGCGGUGAAAUGCGCAGAUAUCAGGAGGAACACCGGUGGCGAAGGCGGAUCUCUGGGCCAUUACUGACGCUGAGGAGCGAAAGCGUGGGGAGCGAACAGG
This 253-nucleotide ribosomal RNA is filed under the name uncultured bacterium. RNAcentral's name for it is "partial 16S ribosomal RNA". It matches the Rfam family "Bacterial small subunit ribosomal RNA", at positions 524 to 776 of the family's 1533-position model. The record is from RNAcentral.